RNAcentral lists this ribosomal RNA (520 nucleotides) under Papilio dialis tatsuta. RNAcentral describes it as "partial 16S ribosomal RNA". The record is from RNAcentral. Lineage: Eukaryota; Metazoa; Arthropoda; Insecta; Lepidoptera; Papilionidae.
AAACAUGUUUUUUCGAAAAUAAUUUAAAGUUUAAUCUGCCCACUGAUNAAAUUAUUAAAGGGCUGCAGUAUUUUGACUGUACAAAGGUAGCAUAAUCAUUAGUCUCUUAAUUGGUGACUUGUAUGAAAGAUUGGAUGAAAUAUAUACUGUCUCUAUUUAAUCUAUAAAAUUUAAUUUUUUAGUUAAAAAGCUAAAAUAAAUUUAAAAGACGAGAAGACCCUAUAGAGUUUGAUAAUUUAUUUAAUUAUUAUUAAUAUAUAAAUUUAAAAAUUAAAGUUAAAUAAAUUAUUUUAUUGGGGUGAUAGAAAAAUUAAAUUAACUUUUUUUUUAUUUUAUACAUUAAUUUAUGAAUGAAUGAUCCAUUAAUAAUGAUUAAAAGAAAAAAUUACCUUAGGGAUAACAGCGUAAUUUUUUUUUUUAGUUCAAAUAGGAAAAAAAGUUUGCGACCUCGAUGUUGGAUUAAGAUAAAAUUUAAAUGAAAAAGUUUAAAAUUUUAAUCUGUUCGAUCAUUAAAAUCUUA